RNAcentral lists this ribosomal RNA (500 nucleotides) under uncultured Glomeromycotina. RNAcentral's name for it is "partial small subunit ribosomal RNA". It matches the Rfam family "Eukaryotic small subunit ribosomal RNA", at positions 591 to 1092 of the family's 1831-position model. Lineage: Eukaryota; Fungi; Glomeromycota. The record is from RNAcentral.
CCGAUAGCGUAUAUUAAAGCUGUUGCAGUUAAAAAGCUCGUAGUUGAAUUUCGGGGUUAGUAGGUUGGUCAUGCCUCUGGUAUGUACUGGUCUCACUGAUUCCUCCUUCCUGAUGAGCCGUAAUGCCAUUAAUUUGGUGUUGCGGGGAAUUUGGACUGUUACUUUGAAAAAAUUAGAGUGUUUAAAGCAAGCUAACGCUUGAAUACAUUAGCAUGGAAUAAUGAAAUAGGACGUUCGAUCCUAUUUUGUUGGUUUCUAGGAUUGACGUAAUGAUUAAUAGGGAUAGUUGGGGGCAUUAGUAUUCAAUUGUCAGAGGUGAAAUUCUUGGAUUUAUUGAAGACUAACUACUGCGAAAGCAUUUGCCAAGGAUGUUUUCAUUAAUCAAGAACGAAAGUUAGGGGAUCGAAGACGAUCAGAUACCGUCGUAGUCUUAACCAUAAACUAUGCCGACUAGGGAUCGGAUGAUGUUAAUUUUUUAAUGACUCAUUCGGCGCCUUACG